This 658-nucleotide long non-coding RNA is filed under the name Zostera marina. RNAcentral describes it as "long non-coding RNA (ZMAR_LNC001130)". Lineage: Eukaryota; Viridiplantae; Streptophyta; Magnoliopsida; Alismatales; Zosteraceae. The record is from RNAcentral.
GACAAGAUGGGAUGAGAUCAUUAAGGCCAAAGCGACAAAAUGAUCUCCAAGUCUAUCAAGGCCAAAGCGACAAGAUAGAAGAAUUAUUGAGGCCAAAGCGACAAAAUAAUUCUUGGUCCAUUAAGGCCAAAGCGACAGAAUGGACCUUGAUCUAUUAAGGCCAAAGCGACAAAAUAGAUUUCUAAUGUAGGGUACUAGUUAGAGUCGUAGGUAGUGAUUUCGAAAGAGUGUUACAAAAAUAAAAUCUAACUAUUCUAUUUUGUAACUUGUACUAGCAUAGGGACUACAAUUUAGGACUACAAUUCUAGACUUGAACCCUGGUGUAUUAGUCAAGCUCCGGCCAUAGCGACAGAGUGACUCUCGAUCCUUAUCAAGGCCAUAGCGACAAGAUGGGAUAGGAUCAUUGAAGCCAAGGCGACAAAAUGAUCCUUGGUCUAUUAAGGCCAUAGCGACAAAAUAGAUUGAAAACGAGGGUAUCGUUGAUUGUAGUCGAAAAUUUAGAAUAUCGGGCUAGAUUCGUAAAUGAGAGUCCGAUUUAGAUUCUUAAGUCGCACUUUGGACUCAUAAAUCGUAAACUAGACUUGUAAUCGCAAUUUUAGUCACUUUGGACGUAAAUUGGAUUUUGUAACCAUCGCUUAGAUUCGCGGGUCGUAAGCCA